This 86-nucleotide transfer RNA is filed under the name Fidelibacterota bacterium. RNAcentral describes it as "tRNA-Leu". It matches the Rfam family "tRNA". From Rfam's summary of the family: Transfer RNA (tRNA) molecules are approximately 80 nucleotides in length. Their secondary structure includes four short double-helical elements and three loops (D, anti-codon, and T loops). The record is from RNAcentral. Lineage: Bacteria; Pseudomonadati; Fidelibacterota.
GCCGCGGUGGUGGAAUUGGUAGACACGCCAGAUUUAGGAUCUGGUGCACUUUGUGCGUGAAGGUUCGAGCCCUUUCCGCGGUACGA